AUGUGCUUCGGGAGCAGCCCUAGAAAAGGCAAAAAAAAAAAAAAAGGAUGGUUCAUUGAUUUAUUCCCUCUUUUCUUCAACAGCUAUGGAGUCCUGACUAUGUUCUGGACACUCUUAGAAAAGCAUGAAGGAGGCUGCCCGUCCCUGUUGGAUGUGACAGCACCGUGUGGGUGUGUCAGAGCUGAACUCUUGUCUUCGGCCCCCGUGUCUCUCCCAGCCACUCACUCGCCAGGCUUCCAGGGCCAGCUGUCUCAGUAUUCCUUGUUCAGAGUUUUACCUCCUGGGCUGGAUUACAGGUUCCUCGGGAGAGGCUAGACUUCCUAUGUGUUGUCUGUAAUCCUCAGCACAAGACUAAACAUGCAGUUGCACUUGGUAAGCACUUGUGAAUAAAGGAAACAGAGAGGCAGAAUAUUUGCGGAUC
RNAcentral lists this long non-coding RNA (421 nucleotides) under Sus scrofa (pig). RNAcentral describes it as "lncRNA (ENSSSCG00070026597.1)". The record is from RNAcentral. Lineage: Eukaryota; Metazoa; Chordata; Mammalia; Artiodactyla; Suidae.